Tachysurus vachellii is the source of this 2294-nucleotide long non-coding RNA. RefSeq lists it as uncharacterized. NCBI's taxonomy places the organism in Eukaryota, Metazoa, Chordata, Actinopteri, Siluriformes, Bagridae. The record is from RefSeq and is a predicted model, not a curated record. The transcript has 3 exons.
UGUGAAUCUGCUGACAUCUACAUUCUUGUCUGUUUCAUAUAAAGAAAAUAAUGGUGUGGAGAGAAAUGUAUACAUAACAUGAAAUUAUCAAGUGACAAAUAUUAUACAGGGAUGGGCAGUAUUUAUGAUACAGGCGUCUACGUGAUGACAUCAUGAGAGAGAAAAACGACGGCGCCGCACUGAUAUCCAUUGUCCAGAACUUGCCCAGAUCACAUCAGCAUAAAGGCUAAUUAAAGCGCGGAAGCACAUGUAUGGAAGAGAAGGAGUACUGUUCCAGAGUCCUUUAACAAUAACAUCUACAUAGAUGCCAUCUGUGUUUCGAGGGUCGUUCCUAAUAAGUUUAAAGUGAGGAAUAAAAUUUUCGCAGGAUUCGAGUCAUCCGUCUUCUGGUGGGUCACAUUAAUAAGAAUGUGGACUGGAUCAACUAUAUAUGCUACAAUCUGCAAAGAUUCAUAAAUUUCACCAGAGACGGUCUUAAAGGUACAGCCAAACAACUGGAUGCCACAAGCCUCAGGGCAUAGCAAAAUAGAUUAGCUUUAGAUAUGCUUCUGACAAAAAAAGUAGGUGUGACGUUUGGCACUGCCUGCUGUAAUUCCAUUCCAAUUAACACUGGCCCAAAUGGCUCACUUACCAGAGCCAUUGAUGAACUUACAGCAUUAGCUAAUGAACUUGCAAAAAAUUCAGGCAAAGGUGACCCGUUGACAAACUUUUUUGAAACAUGGUUCAGAAAGUGGAAAGGACUGAUCCUCUCUGGCUGGGUAGCAGCAAUUGUGGUAAUUGGUGUUCUGAUUCUCUGUAGAUGCUGUGUUAUUCCAUAUGCACGAUGUCUAAUUACCAAGUUGCUGACAAAGGAGAGACAAUAUCAGUUGACUAGAAUGGAGCAGGAUGGGUCAGCAGAACUGAGACUCGCCAUCAGCAAUGAUGAUAAUUCUACCUUACACUUGCCUCCUAAUGCAGAAUCCAAUGAAUAUGAUUCAAAGUUGGAUGCUGGAAAAUAAUAGAUUAAUUGUGUUUGUGUAGCUUUGCUAUGUACAUGUCUAAUAUAUUGUUGUGAGCCAAAGGCAUGCACGAGAUGUUAUCAGACACUGGCAUGUACGGGAUUGAGUUACAGGACUCUACAUACCUGAUACCGGUUCUCUUAAUACUGGUUCUCAGCAAAUAAAUAGAAAUAAAUAUAUCAAUACACCACGACCAAUUAUGAACUUAUCCGUCAUUAGACAGAAGGAUAUAGAAAGUGCAAAGAAAAGAAGAAACAGGGAAAGAAAAGAGAAACGUAAGGUGAAUAAACAAAUAAAGAUUGAUGUAAAAAUACAAAAGGUUGAAGAAUUGAUUGAAGAGUUGAAAGAUUUGAAUAUGAGUGUUUAGAGGAAGACACUGAGGGAUCAGACGCUGUACCUAGACAGCUGGAAGAAGAUUCCAAAAGAAAAGAAGACUAUAAUGCAUUGUGUGUUAUGAUGUUUUAUUUUCAGAAUGUUCAAGAAAAAUUCUGAAAUGCUUUUCUUUUUCUUAUAAUCAUGUAUUCUCAUGUAAUAGAGUUGAUUAGAUUAAUAUUGUUUAUUUUACUGUAAACUUUCUUGUAGUAAACACUUAUAAAGCUUACUGUGUAUUACCACUAGGGAGUAUCCGCACGCAAAGUGUUUCAAGGCCUGCUGUUGAAAUGAAGCUUUCUGUGUAUCUGUGGGUAGUGACCUGCACGUGUAGUGUUUUAUAGCUCACUAUCAAAUUCUAUGGUGGGAGAAAGCUUCAGUUCUAUAUAAUCACAGCCUGAGAAGUCGCAGGAAGUAUGACCAUAUAUAGACAUUAGCAGCGCACACAGAGUCACUGGCGAGAUAUGUUUGGGAAACCGAGAAGUGUUUAUGAAAUAAGAUGGUAGCCGUCUAAAAGGCACAAAGCCAAUCAAACUGGCCACAGUAAAAAAGUAUAAAAGCCCGCCUUGAAUCACAUUGUGUGUGCAUUCUAUUGUAGACAGCCUUAGGGCAUGUUAUACUUUAGGUGUAUCAUGGAACAAACGCAAGUUUACACUUGGAGAGUGUUUCUUGGUUUGUUAUAAUCUUUGCAUAUUAAUACUUUCUACUUAUUCUAGUACUGUUUGAUUAUUUGAAGGAAGAUUUUAUUUGUAAAUUUCUUUUUAUUUUACAUAUAUUACACACACCUAUCUGUAUUACACUACUUUUAAUAAAAACAAGGCCUCCCAUUGUGAGGAUCCUGAAAAGACAAAAAGGUAUAAGUCUGCCUCCUUCACUUAAAGAUUCAAACAAUAGAUUAAGUAGAAGACCUUGGAGAGGAGCCUUUGU